RNAcentral lists this ribosomal RNA (505 nucleotides) under uncultured bacterium. RNAcentral's name for it is "partial 16S ribosomal RNA". It matches the Rfam family "Bacterial small subunit ribosomal RNA", at positions 28 to 507 of the family's 1533-position model. The record is from RNAcentral.
GACGAACGCUGGCGGCGUGCCUAAUACAUGCAAGUAGAACGCACAGUUUAUACCGUAGCUUGCUACACCAUAGACUGUGAGUUGCGAACGGGUGAGUAACGCGUAGGUAACCUGCCUGGUAGCGGGGGAUAACUAUUGGAAACGAUAGCUAAUACCGCAUAAUAUUAAUUAUUGCAUGAUAAUUAAUUGAAAGGUGCAAUUGCACCACUACCAGAUGGACCUGCGUUGUAUUAGCUAGUAGGUGAGGUAACGGCUCACCUAGGCGACGAUACAUAGCCGACCUGGGAGGGUGGUCGGCCACACUGGGACUGGGACACGGCCCAGACUCCUACGGGAGGCAGCAGUAGGGAAUCUUCGGCAAUGGACGAAAGUCUGACCGAGCAACGCCGCGGGAGUGAAGAAGGGUUUCGGAUCGUAAAGCUCUGUUGUAAGAGAAGAACGGGUGUGAGAGUGGAAAGUUCACACUGUGACGGUAUCUUACCAGAAAGGGACGGCUAACUACGUG